Oryza sativa Japonica Group (Japanese rice) is the source of this 2601-nucleotide non-coding RNA. NCBI's taxonomy places the organism in Eukaryota, Viridiplantae, Streptophyta, Magnoliopsida, Poales, Poaceae. The record is from RefSeq and is a predicted model, not a curated record.
UUGAAGUUUGAAAUCAAAGAAAAUAAGUAAAUAACAUAGCCUAAACAUUCUACAAUUUGAUCCUUUUAAAAAUUUAUAUUACAAACAGACCUUCCGCAAAAUUUGUUCUCCCGUUCUCUCUCUCUUUUUUUCCACCUUUCGGUGUUAUCAUCGAAUGGGCCUCCGGUGUAGGCCCAUCAUUUCAUCAUGGGCCUCAUUCCUGCCAGCCCAUUCGUCAGCCCAAGCCGUCGAGCGGCGGCGCGUCUCCGCCGCGAGCGGCGCCGGCGAGCGGCAUCUCCUCCCCACGCCGCCUCGCCGUCGGCGACGACGUCCCCAGCGCCAAGGUCAGCCACCGGCGCCGCCGCCGCGCCCCCGGUCCCUCCUCCCCUUUCUCUCUGGCUUCUCUCAUGUCCCCCCUCUAUGCCCUCCACCGCGGGCUGCUCCGCCGCUUCGCGGCGCGCGGCCGUCGCGCUCAUCCGCAUCGAGAAGCGGUGAGCUACAACCCUUGCCGCAUUGCGAUGUUGUGACACGGGCGAGUCAUGGCCGUCGCCGCCGCCGCCGCCUUGUCGUGCCAUACGCCAUCGCAACGCGCCGCCGCGCAGCAUAGCAGGGCACGCCCGUUUGGUUCCCUCUCAAAUGGGUUCAUCUCGAGCGAUCGGAUGAAUCGGAAUCGUCGAGGCGCUGGAAGGUUCGGUUCGGUCGGUUGAUGAUCGAUUUCCCUGUGGUACGUACGAUUCAGGAAUCCCAUGCCUGUAUUUUUUUUCUCUUUGCAAAAAUUCCGUUUCAUCUUCCGCUGCUUAAUUCUGCUUGUGAUGCGUACGAAUCAGGAAUCCACAGGUUCUCUUCAGUGCCAACUAGUAUUAGUUGGUCCCAAUCUUCCAGAAUCACCAUUUCUGCUUGGAUGUUUCUAAGCAUGAUGGUAUUAGUGAGGUGUCGUCCUGCUAUGAAGAUUCCGGUGCCGGAAAUAGAGGAGAUGUAUCUGAAGGAGCACCUGGGUGUUGAUUUAGUGUAUCAUUACUUUUUUUCUUUGACAAAGAAAGAAUCUAUCAUCACUGAUGAUGAUGUGAAGAAUUGCUAGCACAUUGCUUGACUCGCUCAGCAAUACUUUCUGGAUCGCAAUCCUGUCCAUAUUCAAGGUCAAAACAAGAAUGAUUCUACCUUAACAUGGGAAAGCUCGUGCUACUUGACAAUGUCAUAAUGAAUCGCAGUCAAUCUCUGAUAUUCGUAUCUGAAGUCUCCUGCUUGUGUCCAUUUACCAUGAAACCAUCCUGGAUGAAGCCCAAUGAAUUGUGGCUGAGAACAGUUGCCUGAUUCCAGUCAUUUUCAUGUGCCCUCAGUUCACUGGCACUUGAUCUGGGAAGAAAGGCAACCUGUUUGAGAGGAACUGCCCAUCUUGAGGUAAACCCUCCAGGCCUUGUCGACAAUGGAUUCGAGUCAGCAGUGCUUUAUAUAUGCAGGAACUCAUCAGGCAUGUCGGGUUUGACAGCAAUGCGAAAGGAUCCUGUCUAUGAUUGGUGUCUGGUGACCAUCAGCAGCGGCUGGUCCGGGAAAACGGAUGCCACAGAAGGAUAUAGCGGCUCAAAUUGCGACCUGUCCACCCCACCAACACAAAGGUAUAUUUGGUUUUUGACCUAAGUUCGCUACACCCAAUCUUAGCCAUGCCAUUUCAUGCCACAAUUUAUCAGGAAAGCGUUUGAUUAAUUUGAUUAAUUUCUGCGACAAUAGCAACCCAUCUUUGUUAGUGUUUUGGCCCACUUGUUAAGUUGUUAUUCUAACCAGACUGUCAACAACAAAAUGUCACGGUUUGUAUGCCGCGGCACACCUUAACUAAUUUUGUUGUAGUAAAGUUACUUAUCAAAUAAAUCCUUAACCAUAUAAUAUAACUUUUUAAAGAUGAGGCGUUCCACAAUUUUUAUGGCUAACAAAUUAUUUUCCAUGAGGAAACUGGGUCUACGAUAAGAGAGGUACUAAAUAUAAUGUUUUGUGGUGUGUGAAAUUUUAGCAGUAAACUAGUUGGUUAGUCUUGCCAAAGAUGUAUCGAAGUGUGGCCACCAAUCGAAAACCCUUAGUAGCCACAAGCCGGCAAUCCUGAACUUCCACUGUUGGAGGAUUUCCAAUUAGAAAAAGGGCGGUCAAAUGUUACAGUUGACCAACAAGUGAAACAUUAAGUUAUAUAUGAAAAAAAAAAUCAGCAACUGAAGCAUUUAAAAAUUUUGUGAAACACGGUGAAGAUACACAUUGAAACAUGUUGCUAUCACAUAUAAAACAACGAGUGUUAACGGAUUGAAAAUAUAUGUUUUUUUUCAUCAAAAUAUAAUCAUGUGAUAUCUUAUUAUAAAGAUUUAAUUACAACGAAUACAAUGGUGCGAUCGGAUUGUAGAUUGGAUAACUAGGUAGGAGAAAAAUCAUUUUGAAGAUCGCUAAAAUGCAUACAUACAUGCAUAGAGUGGAGAGAGAGUAGUGACAAGUAGUCCCGUGAAUUUUGUGAAACACACCACAUAUUGAAACAUAUCACUAUCACGUAUGAGACAUUGAGUUUUAAUGGUUUAAAAGACAUGGUUAUAUUUUAUUAUAAUAUAAUCGUAUGAUAUCAUGUUGUAAAGAUUUAUUUACAACGAAUAC